GACGAACCGUCCAAACGUUAUUCGGAAUUACUGGGCUUAAAGGGUGCGUAGGCGGCGCGGUAAGUUGGGUGUGAAAUCCCUCGGCUCAACCGAGGAAUAGCGCUCGAUACUGCCGUGCUUGAGGGAGACAGAGGUGAGUGGAACUUAGGGUGGAGCGGUGAAAUGCGUUGAUAUCCUAAGGAACACCAGUGGCGAAAGCGACUCACUGGGUCUCUACUGACGCUGAGGCACGAAAGCUAGGGGAGCGAACGGG
Molecule: ribosomal RNA, 253 nt
Filed under: uncultured bacterium
Lineage: Bacteria
Description: partial 16S ribosomal RNA
Rfam family: Bacterial small subunit ribosomal RNA
Source: RNAcentral